RNAcentral lists this ribosomal RNA (253 nucleotides) under uncultured bacterium. Its description in RNAcentral is "partial 16S ribosomal RNA". It matches the Rfam family "Bacterial small subunit ribosomal RNA", at positions 524 to 776 of the family's 1533-position model. The record is from RNAcentral.
UACGUAGGGUGCGAGCGUUAAUCGGAAUUACUGGGCGUAAAGAGUGCGUAGGCGGUUCUCCAAGUCCGUUGUGAAAGCCCCGGGCUCAACCUGGGAAUGGCAGUGGAAACUAGGGAACUUGAAUCUGGCAGAGGGGGGUGGAAUGCCGCGUGUAGCAGUGAAAUGCGUAGAGAUGCGGCGGAACACCGAUGGCGAAGGCAGCCCCCUGGGCUGAGAUUGACGCUCAGGCACGAAAGCGUGGGGAGCAAACAGG